This 225-nucleotide unclassified non-coding RNA is filed under the name Ascomycota sp. RNAcentral's name for it is "partial contains small subunit ribosomal RNA, internal transcribed spacer 1, and 5.8S ribosomal RNA". The stretch from base 1 to 47 matches the Rfam family "Eukaryotic small subunit ribosomal RNA", at positions 1785 to 1831 of the family's 1831-position model. Lineage: Eukaryota; Fungi; Ascomycota. The record is from RNAcentral.
AAAGUCGUAACAAGGUUUCCGUAGGUGAACCUGCGGAAGGAUCAUUACCUUUGGUUGUGGAUUGUGGUUUACCAUGAUCCUACAGCUUCAACCCUUGAUUUUUGAGUACCUUUGUUUCCUUGGUAGGGCGACCUGCCAUAGGACCUUUUUAAACCACCCUGUAUUGAAAUCAGCGUCUGAAACUUUGAAUUAUUACAACUUUCAACAACGGAUCUCUUGGUUCUG